GCAUAUCAAUAAGCGGAGGAAAAGAAACCAACAGGGAUUGCCUCAGUAACGGCGAGUGAAGCGGCAAAAGCUCAAAUUUGAAAUCUGGCCCUUGCAGGGUCCGAGUUGUAAUUUGCAGAGGAUGCUUCGGGAGCGGCGGCGGUCUAAGUCCCCUGGAACGGGGCGUCAUAGAGGGUGAGAAUCCCGUCUUGGACCGCAUGCCCGUGACCGUGUGAAGCUCCUUCGACGAGUCGAGUUGUUUGGGAAUGCAGCUCAAAAUGGGUGGUAAAUUUCAUCUAAAGCUAAAUACUGGCUGGAGACCGAUAGCGCACAAGUAGAGUGAUCGAAAGGUUAAAAGCACCUUGAAAAGGGAGUUAAAUAGCACGUGAAAUUGUUGAAAGGGAAGCGCUUGCAACCAGACUCGGCCGCAGAGGCUCAGUGGGCACGUGUGCCCAUGCACUCCUCUGUGGUCGGGCCAGCAUCAGUUCUGACGGCCGGUCAAAGGCCCCCGGAAUGUAUCCUCCUCCGGGAGGUCUUAUAGCCGGGGGUGCAAUGCGGUCAGUCGGGACUGAGGAACGCGCUUCGGCACGGAUGCUGGCGUAAUGGUUGUAAGCGACCCGUCUUGAAACACGGACC
Molecule: ribosomal RNA, 615 nt
Filed under: Gymnascella littoralis
Lineage: Eukaryota; Fungi; Ascomycota; Eurotiomycetes; Onygenales; Gymnoascaceae
Description: LSU rRNA
Rfam family: Eukaryotic large subunit ribosomal RNA
Source: RNAcentral